UUCAGUUUAAAUAGCUGCGGGAAUAUUGCUGAGUUUCACCAAAACCCUAAUUGCUGCUGCUGCUGCUGUCGUUUUCAUGUAUGCUGGUUUUGAGAGGUUAAGCUGCCAGCUUGAUCUGAUUACAACAACACCUCCAUUUUUGAGAUUUUAAACGCUUCAUAAAUCUGGCCAUUUUGAAUCCCAUUUUCUUCUUCUUCCUUUUUUCAGAAAAUGAAAAGAAAAUUAUAUUUGAUUAAUUUCAAGAAUUGGUUCCACUGAUCAGGUCAUCUGGCAGCUUCAAUCACUCACCAACAAUACAAUUAAGGAUCGAAAUGGAUCUCUUAAUUACUUAUCAUCAUAUCCACCUUACUAAUCCAACGGGUAAGUAUUUUGUUUCCUUUAAUUAUUAGUUAAUAUUGUUCAAUUAGUCUAUGUUUAUACGUCUAAUAGGUGUAUAUGAAUAAUUGCUCUGGAUCUGUAUAGCUUCUGUUCAUCCCUUUCAUGCAAACAGAUUAUCGUGCACUCUCUCUCCCUCUGAUAAUCAGACGUAAAGAAUAAAAUUAAUUAAAUCUGUAUAUUCUUGCACUUCGUUUUUGUUGUUUUAAAUUUAAAUCACCUGAAAAUUAGUUAAAACAAAUUAAUUAACAUUCACAAAAACAUUAUAUUCUUCAAGCUGCACAAGUGUGCUGGAUAAUUUCUAGCUUUUGUGCGCUGGAUAAUUUAAACUCGGGCCAAAUUGAGUUACUUUAGACUAGUAGGUUAAUUAAUUUUUAUUAAUUGCGCCAAUUAAUCAAGUAUUGUAUCUAAAAAAAUUAAAGUAUAUAUAUACGUAAUGUGGAAUUGUAGUCCAGCCUCUCUCUCUCUCUCUCGUAGCCGUAGGAUGCGUCUUCCCCGUAAUUCACCAUUUCUUUUUCCUUCAUUUGAUUUCCGAAAAAUAAAUAAUGCGGUCAUGAAUAUUGAUUCAAAGUAAGGUUUGUUCCCAUUUUCAUCACUAUAUAUAUUUGACAAAAUACAACAUUUAUAAUUUUCGUCGCCUUCUUCGAUGACGUUCUAGAGAUUUGAAUUUUUUUCCACAAAAAGGAUCAGUAGCCAGAACACUUGGUAGAAUUAAGUAUAGAAUGUAGAUAAUAUAUUAAUUUGUGGGAUAAUUGAAUAAAUAAUUAAAAAAAUCUAUGAUUAUAUAUAGACUUGAUCAUAAAUUUUUUAUUUUAAAUAUUAAUCACUCUACUACAAAAUCAAUAUACACACAUUUAUCAUUUAUUUGUAUAUCAUUAAUUAUUAUUGAUGCACGUCAUCAUACAUACUCCAUCCGUCCCACAAAUCUUGACACAUUUGGUUUCGGCACGGAAAUUAAGGAAUAGCUAGAAAAUUAGUGUUUUAAGUGUGUAAUUAAUAAAAUAUAAAAGUAAUAAAGUAGGAGAGAAAAUGUAAUAAUUAUUACCUUAUUUGGAAAUGUGUCAAGAUUCGUGGGAUAGUCCAAAAAGGAAAACAUGUCAAAAUUCAUGGGACGGAGAGAGUAUUAUGUUAGACGAUGUAUAUUAUUGUAACAUAUAAUAAGUGCCACGUUUGUUGAAAAACAAAGUUGCGUAUGUGGAAGAAAUAUAAGAUGUUAUAAUGUCAAAGUACGUGGAACUCACAUUUAUCUUGACUAUGAUGCACGAAAACCUAACUAAGCAUAAUUACAGAAGGAAAAUAAGGUUUGAUAGGCGAAAAAUUGGUUUUAGGGGUUGGCAGGUGGCAGAAGGUAAUCAAGAUUAAUUAUCAUCUUUCCACCAAAAAAGACAAUAAAACUUAAUUUAUUAUUAUAUGAUUCGUUUUACAAGUUUUUUUAAAAGUCAAAAACAUUUCUUUUAACCAUUAAUACUCUCACGUAUAAGAGUGUAUUCUUUUUUCUUUUCUUUUUCUUUUUUUAGAAUUAUAAGAGAUAUAAUUAAGGGUAAAUAUCAUGAAAAACCCUGAAGUAUACUCGAUUUAUCAAAAAUACCUUGAAACUUUCAAAAUGUUCUCUAAACCUUCAAACUAUCAGAUUUUUAUCAAAUAUAUCCCGUAUUUAUUUUUCGGUCACCAAAUACGUGAUGUGGCUUAUCGAAUGCCAUAAUGUAAUUUAUAUUCUAUUUUUUUAAAAUGCAAUGGCAAACACGACGUCGUUUCGUACCAUAUCAUUUUUAAAAAAAUCCGCUCUAAAAUUUAAAAUUCACUCCUACCGUGUUUGAAAUUCACGCUAAUAACCUAGAUUUAGGGAUAAACACGGUAUAAUAUGGUACGAAACGAAGUUAUUUUUUCCAUGUCAUUUAAAAAAAAUAGAAUUAAAUUACGAGCCACAUCACGUUUCUGGUAACUGAAAAAUAGAUGCAGGAUAUAUAUAUUUGAUAAUAACCUUAUAGUUUGAAGGUUUAGAAAAUAUUUUGAAAGUUUCAGGGUAUUUUUGAUAAAGUGAAUAUAGUUGAGGAGUUUUCAUGAUAUUUAACCUAUAAUUAAAUAAGUCCGCACGCAUGCAGGACCUCUACACCACACAAAAGUGGAAAAACUACUCGCACGUAGACGAGAUUAAUGAACCAAAGACCUCUCACAAAUGAGAGCUUUUGGAUGCCUCAACUUUACUACUUGAGUUAGGCCAUAUUGACAACAAUACGUUCUUUUCUUUACGAAAAAAGAGUGAAAAAAAAUUACAUAUUUCAUUUAUUUUAUAUUUCUUUUUCACAUAUCGUAAGGUGGAUAGUUUUCUUAGAGUAUAAUGGAAAAAAAUUGAGCAACUCUAUUUUUCUUUUUUUCACUCAAAUUUAUGAUAAUAUUAUCACGAGUUAUGAAUAUAUAUAAUAUAAUAUAAUAUAAUAUAAUAUAAUAUAAUCUAAUCUUUUUGGGAGUGUUGAUGUGAUAAACUAUAUUUAUAUGUUUUCCACUUUAAAGAACAUGAAAAAAAAACUGAGAUAGAUAAUUCUUUUCCUUCUCAUUAUAAAUUUACAAUUAAAAAGAGGCAUUAGGAGUCUUAUCAUUUAAAAUUUCCCCAAGGGACUUAAAAGUCAAAGUUAUGUCUAAACUACUGAUAUUAUAUGUAUUUUUGUGACGAUGUCGUUAAGUGACCAAUUGACUAGCCACAUAUAUUUUCCCAGCUUUAAAUUUUGGGAUAAUUAGCUCAUAAAUUACUAAAUUUUAAUCAAAAUUUUAGUUUUGCGCAUCAAUUUUAAAAUAUAUUCAUGACGAUUAAGUUUUCAAAUUCAUUUGAUUUUUCUCAUGAGUUGGAUACCAACCCAAUUUAGUGAGGUGAAUUCUAGCCCAAUAACAUGAUCGUAUGAAUUUUUGCCCUUAUGUUUGAAUUGAUUCCAAAUUAAUUAUGUACAAUUUCAAUCGGAAACAAUGAUAUUUUGAUAUGUUAAUUGGGUUGGAAUUUGGUUUUGCUAGGAAAAUCUUAUUAAAUUAAAAUAUUAGUAAUUAUUCGGAAACCAAUAUAUGUAUAAAAGUAGUUUUUUAUUAUAUAUAUACAAUUAACCCUAUACAUAUCUACAUCUAUAAUUUAUAUUUUUGCAAAAUAUAUAUGAGUAAUAAGUUUCGUUUGUAUUAUUGCUUACCGACAUGCUUGUUGUUCUUCAAUUAUGGGCCGCUCAGUUAUAAAUUUGUCGUCAUUUAAUUAAAUUACAUUGAUGGUACGUUGGUGAAUUAUUUUGUUGAGAGAUUUUGUUCUUAUAUUAUUUGUUUUUAUGAAGGCAAAAAUAUGAAAGUGAGAUGACGAUACGCGACAUUUAUAUACAAUAUGGGUAUCACAUCCUACAAAAUUAUACUCGUUGGCAGGCCAGGAAUUAAUUAUAUGUACGUGUCUAGGUUAGGGGGGGCUAGAGCCCCCUCCCAAAUUUUGAUUUUUUUUUAAAUAUAUAUAGAUAUAUGUUUAUACCUAUUAUAAAAUAAUUUUGUUUUAUAAAAGAGUAUUUGGUUAUUAUAUUCUCUCAUAUAUAUACUUAAUUUAAGGAUAAUUCUGUUAUUUAAAACUAUAUAAUCUAUGAAAUAUUGUUUGUUAUUAUUACUAUUAUACUU
This 4005-nucleotide long non-coding RNA is filed under the name Salvia miltiorrhiza (redroot sage). RNAcentral describes it as "long non-coding RNA (SMIL_LNC005029)". The stretch from base 86 to 291 matches the Rfam family "MIR167 microRNA precursor family". Lineage: Eukaryota; Viridiplantae; Streptophyta; Magnoliopsida; Lamiales; Lamiaceae. The record is from RNAcentral.